GUCCUUUGCUUAGUGCUUUUGGUAAUCAUUGUGUUUCCUGUGUUACCCUAUUACCUUCAAUACUCUAGAGAAGAUAAGAAAAUGAGAGUGAUGGUAUGUUUUAUUAUGAUUAAAAAUAAUUAUAACCUUUAGCAGUAAUAAAAUCAUCAUAAUAUUACAACAUUGAAAUAAAACAAAGACCUAGCUAGCCAUGUCCUUUUUCUUCUAGGUCUGUAUAUCUGAGUGACAAUUUGUAUUGUGUGCCAUAUAAAUGGUAUAAAAUGUAUUUGUAUGUGAGUGGAUCACAUAAGAUGAUGGUUUAUGUAAUCCAGUACUCUGCUGUAGAUGCAAACUUUUUACUCAUUAUGUUUUGGCUCCCAGGUUUGACCAAGGCUAAGUAUUUUUUUUUGGAAUGGGCGGGUGAUGAUCCUGUACUUGU
RNAcentral lists this long non-coding RNA (418 nucleotides) under Bos taurus (domestic cattle). RNAcentral's name for it is "long non-coding RNA NONBTAT023312". Lineage: Eukaryota; Metazoa; Chordata; Mammalia; Artiodactyla; Bovidae. The record is from RNAcentral.